ACGCUGGCGGCACGCCUAAUACAUGCAAGUCGAACGAAGUAGCAAUACUUAGUGGCAGACGGGUGAGUAACAUGUAGGUAUCUACCCUUUGGCCUGGAAUAACACGAGGAAACUUGUGCUAAUACCGGAUAAGUCUUUACGGAGAAAGCUUUAUGCACCAUUGGAUGAGCCUGCACUUGAUUAGUUUGUUGGUGGGGUAAUGGCCUACCAAGACUGUGAUCAAUAGCUGAUUUGAGAGGAUGAUCAGCCACAUUGGGACUGAGACACGGCCCAAACUCCUACGGGAGGCAGCAGUAGGGAAUCUUGCACAAUGGAGGAAACUCUGAUGCAGCGAUGCCGCGUGAGUGAAGAAGGCCUUUGGGUUGUAAAGCUCUUUCGUCGGGGAAGAAAAUGACUGUACCCGAAUAAGAAGGUCCGGCUAACUUCGUGCCAGCAGCCGCGGUAAUACGAAGGGACCUAGCGUAGUUCGGAAUUACUGGGCUUAAAGAGUUCGUAGGUGGUUGAAAAAGUUAGUGGUGAAAUCCCAGAGCUUAACUCUGGAACUGCCAUUAAAACUUUUCAGCUAGAGUAUGAUAGAGGAAAGCAGAAUUUCUAGUGUAGAGGUGAAAUUCGUAGAUAUUAGAAAGAAUACCAAUUGCGAAGGCAGCUUUCUGGAUCAUUACUGACACUGAGGAACGAAAGCAUGGGUAGCGAAGAGGAUUAGAUACCCUCGUAGUCCAUGCCGUAAACGAUGUGUGUUAGACGUUGGAAAUUUAUUUUCAGUGUCGCAGGGAAACCGAUAAACACACCGCCUGGGGAGUACGACCGCAAGGUUAAAACUCAAAUGAAUUGACGGGGACCCGCACAAGUAGUGGAGCAUGUGGUUUAAUUCGAAGAUACGCGCAGAACCUUACCAACACUUGACAUGUUCGUCGCGACUCUAAGAGAUUAGAGUUUUCGGUUCGGCCGGACGAAACACAGGUGCUGCAUGGCUGUCGUCAGCUCGUGUCGUGAGAUGUUGGGUUAAGUCCCGCAACGAGCGCAACCCUCACUUUUAGUUGCCAUCAUUAAGUUGGGCACUCUGAAAGAACUGCCAGUGAUAAGCUGGAGGAAGGUGGGGAUGACGUCAAGUCCUCAUGGCCCUUACGUGUUGGGCUACACACGUGCUACAAUGGUAUCUACAACAGGAAGCAAGACUGCGAAGUUAAGCAAAUCCCUAAAAGAUACCUCAGUUCGGAUUGCACUCUGCAACUCGAGUGCAUGAAGCUGGAAUUACUAGUAAUCGUGGAUCAGCGUGCCACAGUGAAUGCGUUCCCGGGUCUUGUACUCACCGC
RNAcentral lists this ribosomal RNA (1313 nucleotides) under uncultured Alphaproteobacteria bacterium. RNAcentral's name for it is "uncultured alpha proteobacterium 16S ribosomal RNA". It matches the Rfam family "Bacterial small subunit ribosomal RNA", at positions 33 to 1393 of the family's 1533-position model. Lineage: Bacteria; Pseudomonadati; Pseudomonadota; Alphaproteobacteria. The record is from RNAcentral.